RNAcentral lists this ribosomal RNA (1017 nucleotides) under uncultured organism. RNAcentral's name for it is "bacterial SSU rRNA". It matches the Rfam family "Bacterial small subunit ribosomal RNA", at positions 356 to 1376 of the family's 1533-position model. The record is from RNAcentral.
GAGGAAUAUUGGUCAAUGGACGAGAGUCUGAACCAGCCAAGUAGCGUGAAGGAUGACUGCCCUAUGGGUUGUAAACUUCUUUUAUACGGGAAUAAAGUGAGGCGCGUGUGCCUUUUUGUAUGUACCGUAUGAAUAAGGAUCGGCUAACUCCGUGCCAGCAGCCGCGGUAAUACGGAGGAUCCGAGCGUUAUCCGGAUUUAUUGGGUUUAAAGGGAGCGUAGGCGGACGCUUAAGUCAGUUGUGAAAGUUUGCGGCUCAACCGUAAAAUUGCAGUUGAUACUGGGUGUCUUGAGUACAGUAGAGGCAGGCGGAAUUCGUGGUGUAGCGGUGAAAUGCUUAGAUAUCACGAAGAACUCCGAUUGCGAAGGCAGCUUGCUGGACUGUAACUGACGCUGAUGCUCGAAAGUGUGGGUAUCAAACAGGAUUAGAUACCCUGGUAGUCCACACAGUAAACGAUGAAUACUCGCUGUUUGCGAUAUACAGUAAGCGGCCAAGCGAAAGCGUUAAGUAUUCCACCUGGGGAGUACGCCGGCAACGGUGAAACUCAAAGGAAUUGACGGGGGCCCGCACAAGCGGAGGAACAUGUGGUUUAAUUCGAUGAUACGCGAGGAACCUUACCCGGGCUUGAAUUGCAACUGAAUGAUGUGGAGACAUGUCAGCCGCAAGGCAGUUGUGAAGGUGCUGCAUGGUUGUCGUCAGCUCGUGCCGUGAGGUGUCGGCUUAAGUGCCAUAACGAGCGCAACCCUUAUCGAUAGUUACCAUCAGGUUAUGCUGGGGACUCUGUCGAGACUGCCGUCGUAAGAUGUGAGGAAGGUGGGGAUGACGUCAAAUCAGCACGGCCCUUACGUCCGGGGCUACACACGUGUUACAAUGGGGGGUACAGAAGGCAGCUACACGGCGACGUGAUGCUAAUCCCGAAAGCCUCUCUCAGUUCGGAUUGGAGUCUGCAACCCGACUCCAUGAAGCUGGAUUCGCUAGUAAUCGCGCAUCAGCCACGGCGCGGUGAAUACGUUCCCG